UUCUUGUUCACAGAAAAAUGGAGUGGUGGAGUCUACUACAUCUUGCUCUCCUACGGACAGUAAAUACUUAUACAAGCCUAUGUUCCCAGCUGUGUGUCCUGGGUGCUUCUGGUUCUCUCCUUCUCAACCACAACUCAGCCAAAGAUUCUUUGGGACACUCGCAAGAUUCCCCAAAGAGCCUGACGUGAAUUGGAAAACACUGGUCCCUGUUGAAAGUUUGGGAUUCUUUUUAUUUGGAAAAAAAGAUUGUAUAAGAGCUAAACUCUGGAUGCACAAGAAAGCACUAACUCACAUAAUUGAAGCACCACUUGAAACUCUUCCUGCCUUUCAGUAACAUGAUGAUAUGUGACUAUAAUCACAAAAGAAGAAGCCACUUUGUUAAGAAGAAAAGCAAUGUGUGUGAAAAUGCCAAGUAUGAAUUUAGGGAUCAUGGAAAUUACCAGGAUGGCAACCAGAGGGAUGGAGAUCUGCUAUUUAUUCACAAAACAGAGACAGCAAGAGGAUUAAUCAUUCAAAUUCCACCAUGCUUCUGGGCCAGUGUGCUUCCUGCAUGACUCAGAAGACAACUUCCAGCACUGAGAGGAUACUUUGGACCCCAUGCCCAUUCAGUCCUUAGCUUCUCAGCUGAGACUGCCAAUGUGGCUAUGAAUUAGUGCUGCUUUUCUUAACUUUUGUGAUAUUGACAUGUGUACAUAUUGAUUGAAACCAUCCAACAGCCACAAAAUAGCAGCAAUUCUUGUCUUGAUUAAGAUCUGAAUUGUCUUUACAUAGGGUGACCAUAUUUCCCUAUGCU
Molecule: long non-coding RNA, 793 nt
Organism: Terrapene triunguis (Three-toed box turtle)
Lineage: Eukaryota; Metazoa; Chordata; Testudines; Emydidae
Exons: 3
Source: RefSeq, a predicted model, not a curated record